This 63-nucleotide transfer RNA is filed under the name Mesocricetus auratus (golden hamster). It matches the Rfam family "tRNA", at positions 5 to 66 of the family's 71-position model. From Rfam's summary of the family: Transfer RNA (tRNA) molecules are approximately 80 nucleotides in length. The record is from Rfam by way of RNAcentral. Lineage: Eukaryota; Metazoa; Chordata; Mammalia; Rodentia; Cricetidae.
GUGUAGCUCAGUAGUAGAGCAAUUGCCUACUAUGCAUGAGGCCCUGGGUUUGAUGCCCAGCAC